Molecule: non-coding RNA, 270 nt
Organism: Pelobates cultripes (western spadefoot toad)
Lineage: Eukaryota; Metazoa; Chordata; Amphibia; Anura; Pelobatidae
Source: the annotation of a GenBank genome assembly
GUACAGCAGAGUGAACUAUUCCUGCUAAAAGUGGCCACUGCUGUCAGGGAACAUCUUUGCCAUGAAGGGGAGUACAUGGUCUGCAACAAUCUCUAGGUAGCAGAGACAGAGUAUAACACUGUCUCUGCUGGCCUGCCAACUCUUUCCAGAUAAACCGCACACAUGCACCCAGCCAUCCACAUGAUCCAAAAGGAAACGUGAUUCAGCAGAUCAGCCCAUCCACCCAAAGACCACUUUGUGGUGUCUGAUUAAGGCCCAUGUUUUGCAAAC